Molecule: ribosomal RNA, 465 nt
Filed under: Vreelandella stevensii
Lineage: Bacteria; Pseudomonadati; Pseudomonadota; Gammaproteobacteria; Oceanospirillales; Halomonadaceae
Description: partial 16S ribosomal RNA
Rfam family: Bacterial small subunit ribosomal RNA
Source: RNAcentral
CCUACGGGAGGCUGCAGUGGGGAAUAUUGGACAAUGGGGGCAACCCUGAUCCAGCCAUGCCGCGUGUGUGAAGAAGGCCCUCGGGUUGUAAAGCACUUUCAGUGAGGAAGAACGCCUGGUGGUUAAUACCCAUCAGGAAAGACAUCACUCACAGAAGAAGCACCGGCUAACUCCGUGCCAGCAGCCGCGGUAAUACGGAGGGUGCGAGCGUUAAUCGGAAUUACUGGGCGUAAAGUGCGCGUAGGUGGCUUGAUAAGCCGGUUGUGAAAGCCCCGGGCUCAACCUGGGAACGGCAUCCGGAACUGUCAAGCUAGAGUGCAGGAGAGGAAGGUAGAAUUCCCGGGGUAGCGGUGAAAUGCGUAGAGAUCGGGAGGAAUACCAGGGGCGAAGGCGGCCUUCUGGACUGACACUGACACUGAGGUGCGAAAGCGUGGGUAGCAAACAGGAUUAGAUACCCGGGUAGUC